AGGAGACAUCUGGGCACAGACACACAGAGAGAAACACCAUGUGAAGACGGAGGCAGAGAUUAGAGUGAUUUGUCUGUAAGCUGAGGACUGCAGUCAACUGCCAGAAACUAGGAAGAGCAAGGAAACAUGCCUCUUUCUUUAAGCCUCCAGAAUUGUGAGAGAAAAAAAUUCUGUUGUUUUAAGCCACCCUGCUCAUGG
Molecule: long non-coding RNA, 198 nt
Organism: Phyllostomus discolor (pale spear-nosed bat)
Lineage: Eukaryota; Metazoa; Chordata; Mammalia; Chiroptera; Phyllostomidae
Exons: 3
Source: RefSeq, a predicted model, not a curated record